CCUACGGGAGGCAGCAGUGAGGAAUAUUGGUCAAUGGACGAGAGUCUGAACCAGCCAAGUAGCGUGAAGGAUGACUGCCCUAUGGGUUGUAAACUUCUUUUAUAUGGGAAUAAAAUGUUCCACGUGUGGGAUUUUGUAUGUACCAUAUGAAUAAGGAUCGGCUAACUCCGUGCCAGCAGCCGCGGUAAUACGGAGGAUCCGAGCGUUAUCCGGAUUUAUUGGGUUUAAAGGGAGCGUAGGUGGAUUGUUAAGUCAGUUGUGAAAGUUUGCGGCUCAACCGUAAAAUUGCAGUUGAAACUGGCAGUCUUGAGUACAGGAGAGGUGGGCGGAAUUCGUGGUGUAGCGGUGAAAUGCUUAGAUAGCACGAAGAACUCCGAUUGCGAAGGCAGUUCACUGGACUGCAACUGACACUGAGGCUCGAAAGUGUGGGUAUCAAACAGGAUUAGAUACCCUUGUAGUC
Molecule: ribosomal RNA, 460 nt
Filed under: uncultured bacterium
Lineage: Bacteria
Description: partial 16S ribosomal RNA
Rfam family: Bacterial small subunit ribosomal RNA
Source: RNAcentral